This is a long non-coding RNA of Acinonyx jubatus (cheetah), 1152 nucleotides long. RefSeq lists it as uncharacterized. The record is from RefSeq and is a predicted model, not a curated record. Lineage: Eukaryota; Metazoa; Chordata; Mammalia; Carnivora; Felidae. The transcript is spliced from 3 exons.
UAUGCAACCUGUCCAACCUCCCCCCAGGACUGCCACUCUCCCCCUUUCUCUAGUUUUUACAUGGUAUUUAAUCUGUAACAUAAUAAAGCCUACUUAUUCAUUAAUUAUAUUAUUUAUUGUCUUUAUGCCCCCACUAAAAUGUGAACCCAUGAGGACAGAGAUCUUUGUCUAUUUUGUUCACUAUUAUAUCUCAAGUGCAUAAAACAAUGUCUGGCAGACAGUAGUUACUUAAUAAAUAUGCAUUGAAUGAAUGAAUGAAUGAAUGAAUACCUGAAAUGGUUUAGGAGUACUAAAAUUCACUACAUCAAAAUAUUUCCCACUGUCCCCUGCCUGGUAGCUGAAAUCCCACCAUUCCAUCUUCAUUCCUUUGGCCAAGGGUUUUGGCCCCAGUUGAAAAUGCAAAUGCCCCCUGGGAGAGGCAUUACACAUUAUUAGUCAUCCUCAUUCUCCUGUGAACAGUCUAGAUUAUUCAGUGCCUACCUUUAGAAAAGCAGCCUAGAUAUAGAAACAGUCUAGAUUUUGUUGGUUACAAAAGAAAUCUGACUUCUUCACCUUUCUGGUGUUUUCAUACUCAAUUUUCAACCUAACAGAAAAAAUUAGAAAUGACACAAAUCUAAAUAUCUCUUCCACUUAGUUUCAGGAUGCACAAAGAAAAAUGAACACACAAAGAAAAAUGAACACAGUUCUCUUCCUUAAGGCCUUCCUUAUAGGCCUAUGUCAGAGUGAUAAGUGAUCACACCAUUGAGUGAUCUGCACUGUGCAAGUGUUUUACAGGCCUCACUCGUGUAAUCCUCAUUGCAGCCCUAGGUGUAAUAGGUGAUGUGAUAUUGCUCUUCGGGUCCCCAUUUUAUAGAUGUGGAAACUGAGACUUAGAGACUUCAGUUACAUGUCCAAGGUCACCCAGCAGAAAAAAAGGUAUUUCCUAAAUAUUUGGUCUUGCAUUGUACACCUGUAUCCCUGGAACCUUUGGAACACAGUCCUUGGUGCUCUCUCUCGAGCUGAAGGUGUGUUCUCCUCUCCCACGGUUCUUCAUUGGUGCCCUCUGUCUACAUGCUGGUAUGUUUGUACAUAGUAUUAUAUUUGUAUAUGAAUGUGCCUUUUCUCCACCCCCACUGCAUUUCAAAUGUCUUAAGGAAGAGAACUGUGUUCAUU